GUCGGAACAAUAAAACAAAAGAAAUUCUUAGAUCUUAAAGAUACAUAAAAACUAGAAGAAAAAAAAUAGAAUUGUGGCCAAGUGUAGUAUCCUACAGUAGAAAAAGUUGCAGGGAAGACAAAAGAAGGUAGAGCUUGAAGACAUGAGAAGCUGUUCUAAAGCCUGAAACACGUUUGUGGAAGAAAAGAAUAGACCAACUCUAAGCAGCUUUAGGCUUGGGUGUCCUCUUCUUCAGGUUGCUGCUCUUUGAGGAGGUCGUCGUCCUCGAAUUCUUCAUUCCGAUGAAAAAUAGCAAUGCCCCGAGAAGCGCAACACUCUGCGAUAAAACAUUACAAUAUGCCAUAAGAGGACCAUUUUUUAUUGUCAGGGCAAACGCAAAGCUAAAUGAAGAGAGGUGUGUUUUAGACAAAACCUGCAAGAACUCGGUCAACAGAAGAGAGAAUUGGCGGUCCUCGGGUCCAUAGUUGUAGAAAUCAUAUAAGAUGGGACUAACAACCACCAAGUAGAAAGCCUACCAAACAAAGUUAAAUCAAAAUCCAAAGUCAAUACAAACAAAACAACUAAGUUUUGAAUAUUUAUAAAUAGAGAAAAGAAGAAGUCCUAACCAGAAGAUAGGCACCAAAGAUGUUGCCAACAACAAAGAGUAAGCCUCCUAGCCCUUUCAGAGCAACAAUUGCCGAUACGACUUGCUUCACCUUUUUAAACAGCAUAAGAGACAUGAAGACAAGACAAACAUAGGUUUAAGCAAUCAACAAAAACCAGUAACAAUAUAUAAUACUUAGAAAACUGGCCUUCGUUGUACUAUUUUUAUGAAUUCAUUUUUGUGAUAAAGUAGAUUAACAAAAUUUACCCGAUCAUCACAAAAUCUUGUAUUAUAUAUUAUGGUUUUUUCCCCAUAAUUUCAUCUUGGAUUUUCAUGAGUUCAAUACUAUAUACGAAAAAACAACGUCAAACCCAACAUACAUCUUGCAUAAAGAUAAAAAUCAAUAUAUAUUGCUAUUUGUUCUAUAGUAUAACAUGUCUCUAAUUCUUUUUGAUAAAAAAAAACAUUUCUCUAUUUGUUUGCAAGAAAAUUAACGCACCUACUAACAAUAUAUAAUACUUAGAAAACUGGCCUUCGUUGUACUAUUUUUAUGAAUUCAUUUUUGUGAUAAAGUAGAUUAACAAAAUUUACCCGAUCAUCACAAAAUCUUGUAUUAUAUAUUAUGGUUUUUUCCCCAUAAUUUCAUCUUGGAUUUUCAUGAGUUCAAUACUAUAUACGAAAAAACAACGUCAAACCCAACAUACAUCUUGCAUAAAGAUAAAAAUCAAUAUAUAUUGCUAUUUGUUCUAUAGUAUAACAUGUCUCUAAUUCUUUUUGAUAAAAAAAAACAUUUCUCUAUUUGUUUGCAAGAAAAUUAACGCACCUACUAACAAUAUAUAAUACUUAGAAAACUGGCCUUCGUUGUACUAUUUUUAUGAAUUCAUUUUUGUGAUAAAGUAGAUUAACAAAAUUUACCCGAUCAUCACAAAAUCUUGUAUUAUAUAUUAUGGUUUUUUCCCCAUAAUUUCAUCUUGGAUUUUCAUGAGUUCAAUACUAUAUACGAAAAAACAACGUCAAACCCAACAUACAUCUUGCAUAAAGAUAAAAAUCAAUAUAUAUUGCUAUUUGUUCUAUAGUAUAACAUGUCUCUAAUUCUUUUUGAUAAAAAAAAACAUUUCUCUAUUUGUUUGCAAGAAAAUUAACGCACCUACUAACAAUAUAUAAUACUUAGAAAACUGGCCUUCGUUGUACUAUUUUUAUGAAUUCAUUUUUGUGAUAAAGUAGAUUAACAAAAUUUACCCGAUCAUCACAAAAUCUUGUAUUAUAUAUUAUGGUUUUUUCCCCAUAAUUUCAUCUUGGAUUUUCAUGAGUUCAAUACUAUAUACGAAAAAACAACGUCAAACCCAACAUACAUCUUGCAUAAAGAUAAAAAUCAAUAUAUAUUGCUAUUUGUUCUAUAGUAUAACAUGUCUCUAAUUCUUUUUGAUAAAAAAAAACAUUUCUCUAUUUGUUUGCAAGAAAAUUAACGCACCUACUAACAAUAUAUAAUACUUAGAAAACUGGCCUUCGUUGUACUAUUUUUAUGAAUUCAUUUUUGUGAUAAAGUAGAUUAACAAAAUUUACCCGAUCAUCACAAAAUCUUGUAUUAUAUAUUAUGUUUUUUCCCAUAAUUUCAUCUUGGAUAUUUUCAUGAGUUCAAUACUAUAUACGAAGAAACAACGUCAACCCCAACAUACAUCUUGCAUAAAGAUAAAACUCAAUAUAUAUUGCUACGUACAUAACGUAUAAAAUAUAUAUAUGUUUAUAAAACCCAUAGGAUCGACAUAUAAAGUAUAUAUAGAUAUGCAUGUAUGUGGUAGCCCUAGUAUUAAUUAAGAGACGGUUAAUUUGGCCAUGCAAACGGCUUAUUCGACGACGGCGCUGGCUGGUAGUAAAACGGAGCGGCCGGGUGCUGCCACUUCUUGAAAAUUGGAGGCUUCUCCACCUCUUUUCCCCACCGUUGCUCAUCCCUCUUCGUCACCAUUGGUGGCUUCGGUGGCGGUGACUCCGUAGGUGAUAGAAGGGGAAUGGGCACUUUCCAAUUCGCUUCGGACGGGUUUAUCUUUAGAGGUGGUGGAGCCCGCCUCUGCAGCCUACUCGACUUCCGAUUCCCACCGCCAGAUAUAUUUCUCGCCGUGGAAGACAUCGCCGGUGUUUUUUGAUCUCCUUUGUUUAUAAUGUAUAUGAGUGGGGAGUAUGUGUGCUAUAUAUAGUGGGGUGUGAUCAAGUGUGUUUGGCUUGGAUUUUGGUUAAAACGGUCGAAUCUUUUACGAUUAGUUUUCCUUUUCUUUUCAAGUAUUUAAAGUAUUUUUCCUUUUGACUAGUAGACUAUUAGACUAAACUGAUCAAUUUAUGAGUUUGACUAUAUUCUCUUUUGCGAGGAUGAUAGGAACUCUUUUCCCCUCCUUUUCAUUUUUGGUUUCUAAAAAUAUUUUCUUUAGUAUUGUUGGAAAAUAUUAAGAAAUAAAUUAGUUUUUUUCAUAGUUUUGCUAACCAAAUUUUUGUAGGCUUCGAUCCAUUUUUUUAGUCUCCCUCUGACAAUACAACUUGUAAAUCUAUGGCAAUACGUGGGUUUCAAAGUAUAGUUUAGGUUGAUACAGUCGGGUGAAUCAACUGUUUUCAGCAGUUAACCAACUCUGGUAAUUGCAUUCAGCUUAUAAAAGAAAUAUCAAAAGAAAAAACUACUAACUAUUUUUCCAGUCAGUUUUUAGGUUUGGCAUUAUUCAUAACUUUUGUUAAUACCUAAUAAAUUUCUGUAUGUUUUUUAAAAGCAAAAGAAUGAUAAAGACCAUAUGAACUUUAGGACCAAGGAGAUAAUAUAACUUUUGUUUCUAUACCAACUUUAGACUAACCAAUCCCUUUAUUACCUAUUUUAAUUUCUGAGAUUUUGUAUGCCACAUAUAAUGGAAAGAAUCAUAUUCUAGUUUUAACCAAAAGGUAAUAUAUCUUUGAAUAAUUAAUCACUCUCUUAGUAUAAUUACCAUUGAAAUUAGCGGCUCAUAUUCUUCAGAAAUAACCUUUAGCAAAACCCAAGUCAUAUAUGACAAAAUUUUGAUGUGACAUUGUAUUUUCGCAGAUUAAGCUUGUCCAUUGGAUCACAACCAAUAUAAAAUAGAUGUGCAAAAAUUAAAAACUCUCGUAAAUACCACUUGUAAGUGUUUAAACGGUUUGUAAUGGACGGAUCACAUAACUCGCUUUGCGUAAACAAACUUUUUUGUUCAACAUUUAAUAAUUUUUGUUCCAUUUAUUUUCACAGUGACAUAAAUAAAAAUAAAAUAAAAGAUUGUAAACAGAUUAGUUUUAAUGAUAAAAAAUAAUGCAGCAAAAAAUUGGUUUAUGCUGCCAAAAAUUGUCGGAACAAAAAAAAUUAUGAUAAAAAAUACUGUCGGAACAAUAAAACAAAAGAAAUUCUUAGAUCUUAAAGAUACAUAAAAACUAGAAGAAAAAAAAUAGAAUUGUGGCCAAGUGUAGUAUCCUACAGUAGAAAAAGUUGCAGGGAAGACAAAAGAAGGUAGAGCUUGAAGACAUGAGAAGCUGUUCUAAAGCCUGAAACACGUUUGUGGAAGAAAAGAAUAGACCAACUCUAAGCAGCUUUAGGCUUGGGUGUCCUCUUCUUCAGGUUGCUGCUCUUUGAGGAGGUCGUCGUCCUCGAAUUCUUCAUUCCGAUGAAAAAUAGCAAUGCCCCGAGAAGCGCAACACUCUGCGAUAAAACAUUACAAUAUGCCAUAAGAGGACCAUUUUUUAUUGUCAGGGCAAACGCAAAGCU
Molecule: long non-coding RNA, 4328 nt
Filed under: Brassica napus (rape)
Lineage: Eukaryota; Viridiplantae; Streptophyta; Magnoliopsida; Brassicales; Brassicaceae
Description: long non-coding RNA (BNAP_LNC016765)
Source: RNAcentral